CAACCUAUUCAGCGAUGAAUAGCUGAACUGUUAGAAGUCAGCAGAGGUCAUAGUA
Non-coding RNA from Caloramator quimbayensis, 55 nucleotides. The record is from Rfam. NCBI's taxonomy places the organism in Bacteria, Bacillati, Bacillota, Clostridia, Eubacteriales, Clostridiaceae.